RNAcentral lists this ribosomal RNA (477 nucleotides) under uncultured bacterium. RNAcentral's name for it is "partial 16S ribosomal RNA". It matches the Rfam family "Bacterial small subunit ribosomal RNA", at positions 28 to 507 of the family's 1533-position model. The record is from RNAcentral.
GAUGAACGCUGGCGGCGUGCCUAACACAUGCAAGUCGAACGGAGUCCAGCCUUUAAGACCUUCGGGUCAAGAGGGGAAGACUGAGUGGCGGACGGGUGAGUAACACGUGGGCAACCUGGCUCAUAGAGGGGGAUAACAGAGAGAAAUUUCUGCUAAUACCGCAUAAGCACACACUGCCGCAUGGCAGAGGGUGAAAAGAGAAUCGCUAUGAGAUGGACCCGCGUCUGAUUAGCCAGUUGGCAGGGUAAGAGCCUACCAAAGCGACGAUCAGUAGCCGAUCUGAGAGGAUGAACGGCCACAUUGGGACUGAGACACGGCCCAAACUCCUACGGGAGGCAGCAGUGGGGGAUAUUGCACAAUGGGGGGAACCCUGAUGCAGCGACGCCGCGUGAGUGAAGAAGUAUUUCGGUAUGUAAAGCUCUAUCAGCAGGGAAGAUAAUGACAGUACCUGAAUAAGAAGCCCCGGCUAACUACGUG